RNAcentral lists this ribosomal RNA (253 nucleotides) under uncultured bacterium. RNAcentral describes it as "partial 16S ribosomal RNA". It matches the Rfam family "Bacterial small subunit ribosomal RNA", at positions 524 to 776 of the family's 1533-position model. The record is from RNAcentral.
UACGUAGGGUGCGAGCGUUGUCCGGAAUUAUUGGGCGUAAAGGGCUCGUAGGCGGUUUGUCACGUCAGGAGUGAAAACUCGGGGCUCAACCCCGAGCCUGCUUCUGAUACGGGCAGACUGGAGGUAUGCAGGGGAGAACGGAAUUCCUGGUGUAGCGGUGAAAUGCGCAGAUAUCGGGAGGAACACCAGUGGCGAAGGCGGCGAUCUGGGAAGAUACUGACGCUGAGGUGCGAAAGCGUGGGGAGCAAACAGG